UACAGAGGUCCCAAGCGUUGUUCGGAUUCAUUGGGCGUAAAGGGUGCGUAGGCGGCGCGGUAAGUCGGGUGUGAAAUCUCGGGGCUUAACUCCGAAACUGCAUUCGAUACUGCCGUGCUUGAGGACUGGAGAGGAGACUGGAAUUUACGGUGUAGCGGUGAAAUGCGUAGAUAUCAGGAGGAACACCUGCGGUGUAGACAGCUUUCUGGACCACUUCUGACGCUGAGACACGAAAGCGUGGGUAGCAAACAGG
Molecule: ribosomal RNA, 253 nt
Filed under: uncultured bacterium
Lineage: Bacteria
Description: partial 16S ribosomal RNA
Rfam family: Bacterial small subunit ribosomal RNA
Source: RNAcentral